CCUACGGGUGGCUGCAGUGGGGAAUAUUGGACAAUGGGCGAAAGCCUGAUCCAGCCAUGCCGCGUGUGUGAAGAAGGCCUUCGGGUUGUAAAGCACUUUCAGUGGGGAAGAAAGCCUUGGGGCUAAUACCCUCGAGGAAGGACAUCACCCACAGAAGAAGCACCGGCUGAACUCCGUGCCAGCAGCCGCGGUAAUACGGAGGGUGCGAGCGUUAAUCGGAAUUACUGGGCGUAAAGCGCGCGUAGGCGGUCUGAUAAGCCGGUUGUGAAAGCCCCGGGCUCAACCUGGGAACGGCAUCCGGAACUGUCAGGCUAGAGUGCAGGAGAGGAAGGUAGAAUUCCCGGUGUAGCGGUGAAAUGCGUAGAGAUCGGGAGGAAUACCAGUGGCGAAGGCGGCCUUCUGGACUGACACUGACGCUGAGGUGCGAAAGCGUGGGUAGCAAACAGGAUUAGAUACCCUUGUAGUC
This 466-nucleotide ribosomal RNA is filed under the name Vreelandella stevensii. RNAcentral describes it as "partial 16S ribosomal RNA". It matches the Rfam family "Bacterial small subunit ribosomal RNA", at positions 338 to 795 of the family's 1533-position model. Lineage: Bacteria; Pseudomonadati; Pseudomonadota; Gammaproteobacteria; Oceanospirillales; Halomonadaceae. The record is from RNAcentral.